UAAGGAUAAAUAUUAGCUGUCAUUUAACUGUCGGAAGAAUGAAAAAGUGAUACAUUUGGGCUUUUUAGAUCAUUUGUAACUAAAUUUGUACAGAAAUUAUCCUGUGAAAUUAAGUAAACCAUUUUCCAGAUCUUGACUACAUUGCUGAGAUUUUGCAGUUGAAAAAUAAUUUCAAAUUUUUCAGGUUUUUUGUAUAUUUAUUUUUUUCUAACAAAUAUAUUUAACUAUAAAAUUAAAAUUAAGUAGUUAAACUCUUCAUAAUGCAGAAAUGGAUGGCUUUGAUUGAUAGAAAAAUGAGUCUUUCAGUUACACCAUUCUUGAAAAUAAUAGUGUAUUUUGAAAUUUGUCAUUAAUUAGUUGCUUUUCAAGGCAAUCUAUUUGAAAUAUGUAAUUUCCUGAUGUUAUCUGCAUUGUGUUAAGAAAAUAAUAGGCUAUAAAAUCAAUUUUUGUAAAAAAAUGUACAGUUUUAAGUUGUGUACAGAAAAAGGAAGAGCGUACACAGUCUUAGAGUGGAAUAUACCUCUAGUACAGUGUAUGUGUUAAUUCCAACUCGAGCAAAGAAAUGAGUAUUUACCAUCUUUCCUAUAACACGUAAAUGUAUUAUUCCUGUUCUACAGACACUGUAUAUUUAUGACCUUAUUUGGACAUUAUUAGACACUGGUUUCUUAGUAAAGCACAGUAACUUGGAUCAGAUUCUUUGUAACCGAAACACUUAAACAUGUAUUAGUAAUACCAAUAUAUUUAGAUUUUAUAUUUUUAUAAUUUAGCUUCUAUGCAUUGCAGAAGUUGAAUUAAGAAAUUUAAGUCAUCACCAUAUUUUUGUUUUCUUUACCUCUUGGGAAAAUAAUCCUCUUUGAGGCAGUAACACUAUGUAUGUACUGUUGAUAGGCCAGAAGGAAAUGUUGGCAGUUGUCUUAGGUAAGCAAUAAAAACAUCUCCAAUUUACUGAAAGUUCAGAACUGUAACUGUUACAUGCAUGGAAAGUGUAAACCAAUUUAGGUAUUUCUAAGUACCCAACCCUAAUAUUCUCUCCCUCAACUCCAACAUUCUCAAGUCCCAGAUGAAAAGUUUCAGUGGAGCAUUAGUUUAAAUAUUUAGUCUAAUCAGAGACUCACAGCCCUGGGCAAUAGAUACAUAGCUUUUUAAAAUUUUAUCCUUUGUGACCUGCUAUAGUGGCAUUGGACUAUUUUCUGCAUGUAUUAUAAACUAAAGAUUUUUUGGCCUUAUUUCAAUUGUUUUUAUUGCACAACUUCACUACAAAUUUAAAGACUGCUGGCAUUAUUAUAAAACUGUCUUCCUCCAAUCCAAGUAAAUAAGUGUGUGGAAUAUUUGUGAGCUGGAUUAGGUAACAUCUGAGACUUGGGAUUGACUAAAUUUAGUUAUCACUUGGAAAUGAAUUACAUAAGAUACAGUAAUCAGAGAAAAUAUCUUUGUGCAGCAUGUAUGUUAACAUCUAGAACUGUCCCUUGUCUGCAGUGCAGUAGAUGAAUCAGACAUUUUAAGAAUUGUAUUCAAAUAUUUUUAUCUUAUAUGUUAGCAGCAUUUACGUGUUUUCAGAUACGAUUUGUAAUAUAAAUUAAUUUCUCCAGUUAACAAUGUUUACUUCAAUUCUGACAUUCCAUUUUAUACAUCUAUACCUACUGUAUAUCUCUCUCAAAUGUCAGCUAGAAGCAACUUUUUCAGUUUUCUAUCUAAUGAAAACGGAUGUAUUCUGAAUGUUUUUGUGACCUGAAAUUUAUUUUUUGAGUAGGUUGAAAGGACCAAGAUACUUGAGUGAUUAAAGGGCUGUAAGUGUUCUGCUUAUAUGCAGGAGUUACAUGAUUUUAAAAGUCAUAAUAGGGGAAGUAGUUUUAUCAUCUGAUUACUCCUAUUAACCUAAAAAGUAUUUCUAACAUAACAGGUUGAGCAGUGGUUUUGUUACCUUAGGCAAGAAUUUAUUUUCCCAUUAAAAUUUGAAAAAUACACUUUUCUUUGCUUCUACCCUUGCAGUUUCCCUUAGUUCCCCUAAUUUCCAAGUGAUCUGAACUAAAAUUAAUAUUACAUUUACUAAGAAACUAUUUUUGUUAAUUAUACUGAGCAAAGUUUGCUCCAAAUGAAAAGUCAUUAUGAACUAUGUAUAGUACCCAAGAAAAGGUCAAAUUGAGUCAGAAGACUGUAAGUACCACUUUUGGCGCUCCAGAGAUAAACCUUGUACACACUGCAGUAAAACAGUGAGUAGAAAAUAUGAGCUAGAAAGAUAUUAUUUUUAGUUUUGAUAGCUCUGUGUUGAAAUACUUUUUUAAUGCAGAUAAAAAUUAUCAGGAAAUUAACCUUAUGGCACAGACCAAAUACUUAGUGUAUGGCUGAGUUUCUACAAUUCAAGGAGCCAAGAAAAUAGGUUCAAGAUGGAAUAUAGUACAUGCAUAUAAGGCAGAUGCACACAUGCUGGUUACUUUAAGAUUGUGUGUGUUGAUUAGUCACAAUGAUAGACUAUAACAUGAGACAAUACAAAGUUACAUUUUUGGACCAUAUUAAAACUGCAAGAAGACAGGGGUCUUACUGAAGAUCUUUUAGAAAACUUAAAUCCUGUCACAGGAUAUUUUGACAUGUGUAGAAUGUAGCUCAAUUUUUAAAAAGUAACUGACCUAGAGGGUGAAAGUUGAAACUGACACAUUUUCAAAUUAAGAUUAUGCUUAUUUUGUACAGAAAACAAUGUUUAAACACAAGCAGAUCUGUUGUAUGUAAUAAGUAACACAGAGUUUUAAAACAAAUUAAUUAUUUAGCUUUAUUGAAGUUUGUUUUUUUCCUUCCGAACCUGGAGUAUCAUAUUAUAAACAGCAGUUUCACACCAGAAUAGCAGUGCCCUUUCUUUUUGUACAUAUUGAUUGGACCUUUCUUUACUGUUACGUGGACACUUUCUAUGUUAGUUUUGAUGCAUAAUUCUUUGAAUCCUUUUAUACAAACUAGAAUGUAUGUGUAAGAAUACCUGUCCCUGCAAUGUAGUAACUACAAACUUAUUUUUAAAUAAAUAGAAAACUUGUUUUUCUAAGC
Molecule: long non-coding RNA, 3030 nt
Organism: Pongo abelii (Sumatran orangutan)
Lineage: Eukaryota; Metazoa; Chordata; Mammalia; Primates; Hominidae
Source: Ensembl